CUGACUUAGAACAGAAGUGGGGGGGCCUGUGGCCAAAGUCGAGGGGCCGGUGAUCUUUCCUAAACCUGUUAUUCUCUAGUGAAUGUAUUUCUCUUCCCGUGACCACAUGCAACUGAGGAUUUAUCCCCAAUCAACAAAUGAGAAGUUCUGAGCCAGAAACCUGAGUCCGUGCUGGUCCUCCACCUGGGGCACUCCCGCCACCCGCUGGCCCGGACAUCUGGGGACCCAUGUCAUCCUGCUCUGCCCAUACCUGCUGGAAGCCGGGGCCGCAUGUUUCUCCCUGUCACCAAAGAAUUAAAGACAACAUCUCGGACGGUCUCUGUACAUGGAGAAAUGAGAAUGUAUUCGCAGACAAAGCGUGACCUGAGGGAGAAGCCUGCCGGAAUCUGGAUUUUCAAUAACAUAAGACAAUAAAGCUUAGACUUCUAACCUGCUGCAAUAUGGUACUGCUUUAUUCCUCUGGCUGCACCUCAGAAGAGCCCACCCCUCUCAUGUGGGACACAUCUCUGCAGAAGUUUUCAUUUCUGGUGUGUCCCCAGUGGGGAGAGGCAAGUGUGGGAUGCUGGAUGCCCUGGGACAGAACUGUAGACUCUGCUAGGCACCUUCCUUCUCUGGGAAGCCUGCCCUGGUCCAUGUGGAGGACGACAAAGGAAAGCACACACUGAGGUCCCUAGAAGAGAGCCUUCCUCCAUCACUCGGUGACAGGGAGUGGAACCGAUUAGCCCAUUCUGAGGCUGCCUGCGUGCCGGCCCAUCUUUGAUCCUCACAGCACUUUGCAAGC
Long non-coding RNA from Callorhinus ursinus (northern fur seal), 781 nucleotides. RefSeq lists it as uncharacterized. The record is from RefSeq and is a predicted model, not a curated record. Lineage: Eukaryota; Metazoa; Chordata; Mammalia; Carnivora; Otariidae.